RNAcentral lists this ribosomal RNA (1197 nucleotides) under Triticum aestivum (bread wheat). RNAcentral's name for it is "partial small subunit ribosomal RNA". The record is from RNAcentral. Lineage: Eukaryota; Viridiplantae; Streptophyta; Magnoliopsida; Poales; Poaceae.
AUGAGAUGGGUUGAUUGGCAGUAUAUCAAGGACAAUGAAGAGUACUACCCUGGAGUGCAGGACAGCUUUAAGGCGUGUGGAGUAGAGGACUUUGUUGGGCAGAAGCUCACAAAGUGGAACGAGGAACUCAUCAUGCAGUUCUACUCCACAGCCCACUUUUAUCCAGAUGGUAGGAUAACUUGGAUGUCAGAGGGUACGAGGUACCAGUCCACAGUUGCUGAAUGGGCUCAGCUGAUCAAUGCUCCAGAAGAGCAGGAUGAUGACUUGGACAUCUAUGCCAAGAAAAAGAUGGACCACAACUCUAUGUCCAACAUGUACAAGGAGAUUCCGAAUGAAGCACUUGACACGUUCAAGUUUGGCUCAAUGCAUUAUCUUCUAUCAGGACUGCCCACUAUCAACUGGAUACUGAGGCACACCCUACUGCCCAAGUCUAGAGAUCACAAGAUGAUCAGAGGCCACGCGAUAAAUUUGCUUCAUGUGUUUGAUGUGCCUCAGAAGUUCAAAGUCAUGAGCCUCAUAGUGGAAACAAUCAAGAGGACUGCAGCAGAUCAGAAGAGGAGCUGUGGAUAUGCCCCUCUGAUUCAGGAGCUCAUCAACUCCAAGAUGGGCACGGGCGUAUAUUUAUUGGAUAAGGAACACCUGCCCAUCCGUCCAGACUUCGAAGAUAAUCAAGUGGUCAUGACUGAGAAUGAGCCAUCAUCUGCCCAAGCACAAGCCAAGAAGGAGAAGGCGAAGAAGGAGAAAGCUGCCAGGAUGCCCACUCAAGAGGAGGCAUCUGAAUACUUCCUGAAAACCAAACAAGAGCAGCUUGGUUACCUGAUUGCGUCCACCCUGCGGAUUGAGCAAGGACUAGCCACCCUGACUCAGAACCAGGCAAGCUUAGAGAGGAUCAUGGAACAAAGGUUCUAUGACUUGGACAUCAAGGUGACAGAGAUACAGACUGUCGUGGAGCAGCUCCAGGAUGACAUGAAUGGGAGGAGAGGCAGGACUACGACUGAUGCCUUUGCCAGGGUGCCACGAGGUCCGAGGUCGUCUGCAGUGACAGUUGCUGACACCAGAGCCACCACGUCUGCACUAGCUACAGCCUCAGUUCCACCAGCUCCAGCGUCCACUUCAGCCUCGACUCCGACCACGUCUACUAAAGGCUUCGUCCUUGGAGUGCUCCGGACUCCACCACCACCUGAAGAUCAAGCCUGA